This 151-nucleotide ribosomal RNA is filed under the name Trichoderma reesei. Its description in RNAcentral is "partial small subunit ribosomal RNA". It matches the Rfam family "Eukaryotic small subunit ribosomal RNA", at positions 1651 to 1799 of the family's 1831-position model. The record is from RNAcentral. Lineage: Eukaryota; Fungi; Ascomycota; Sordariomycetes; Hypocreales; Hypocreaceae.
CCCUGCCCUUUGUACACACCGCCCGUCGCUACUACCGAUUGAAUGGCUCAGUGGGGCGUCCGGACUGGCCCAGAGAGGUGGGCAACUACCACUCAGGGCCGGAAAGCUCUCCAAACGCGGUCAUUUAGAGGAAGUAAAAGUCGUAACAAGG